Molecule: long non-coding RNA, 1745 nt
Organism: Passer domesticus (house sparrow)
Lineage: Eukaryota; Metazoa; Chordata; Aves; Passeriformes; Passeridae
Exons: 3
Source: RefSeq, a predicted model, not a curated record
GUUUUCCCAUAAGGAUGUUUACCAAAAGGGUGGUUCCUAGUUAGCCAAAGGUGACGGUGUUUUGGUUAAAUGACCAAUUAGGUCCACCUGUAGUGAACUAGGGUAUAAAAAGGGAGAGAAUCAAAUAAAUGGGGCUUUUGCUAUUUGCCUUCUGAUAUGAGUGUGUGUCGUCUCUGAGUCAACGAUGACAAGAACUGAGAUUCCUACCUGGAUAUUCUGCAACAGUGAGUGAAACAUUUUGUUGCAAAGUGAAUGGGACUUCUAUCAAACCCAAGUCAAUGCAUUACCUUAAUCUUCACAGAAACUCGCUGUGCAAUUCCUCAGCAGCCAGGAAAAACAUACCCAAGUGCACUGCUUAUGCACUUACACUUCCCUGAUCACCAGCUGGACAAAAGCUAUAUCUAUAGCAGAAACCUUUAUUUUAUCCUUGUAUUGAAAGUGUUUGCUGAAGGCAGAGGCUCCACUUUGGUUGGUUGAUUUUUCCUGGCAUACAAUAGUAGCCAAUUGGAAGAACUGCAGUUCACAUUCAAAAAACUCUUCUGGAAUGAACUUUGCAAAACCUAUCAACUUUGGAUUUUAGUGGUUUGGGGUUUUUUUGUUUCAUUACUUACUCAUUUUUAUUGUUUAUGUGUAUGUUGAGCCAAGUGAUAUAGAUCCACAUUUCAUAGAAAGUAGGCAAAAAUGAAAAGUUUAAUAAAAAAACCUGAAAAAACCAACAAUGCUGUAGAACCAUUAAUGUUGGAAAAGACUUCUAACAAUAAUGAAUCCAGCCAUUAGCCUACCAGGGAAGGUUUAGAUUGGAUGCUAGGAAAAAAUUCUUCACUGAAAGUGUGAUCAAACAUUGGAACAACCUGCCCAGGGAAAUGGUUGAAUCACUGUCCCUGGGAGAGUUCAAAAAAUGUGUGGAUAUGGCACUUAGGGACAUGGUUUAGUGAUGGUGUUGGCAGUAUUAGGCUACAGGUUGAGCUCCGUGAUCUGAGAGGUCUUUUCUGCUGGAAAAAAAAGAAAAACAUACACAUGAGAUCUUCAGAUAAAAUUAAAUCUGUUUUGAGGACAAAAUAUCUGUAGAAAAAAUGGAGCAGUACCUUUGGAGAAAUCGAGUUCUUUAUCAUGAUUUCAGUUUUUUUUUUUACACUGCUACAAAGGUGGUUUUGAAAAAUAUCAUGGUACGGGCUAUAAAGAUCACUUUCUGUUGGCAGUUCAUAAACUGGGAACAGAAGAGGCAGUUCAUAGGUUACUAGAGAUUUGAGAUGUAAACAGUAUUUGGAAGAUGAAAAGCAUGAGCUGCUUCGUCAAAUGGCAGCAGACAAAGUGUGUAUACGAAUAGAAAAGGAAGCUCUCUGCAAUGACUGUAUCAAAAUUAAUAUUCACUGAAAGAGACAGGAGUUGUGGGCUAAAAUGUUAUCUAAUUUUGUAUGCAAAGACUGUAUCAAAUUGUAUUUGCACAGGCAGGAAGAUCGAGAAUGCUGUCAUCCUUAAUUCUGAAAUCCCUAACUUUCGAACUUUGACAUUCUUUUAACAUAAUUUUUCAAUAUAGUGUGUAAUGUAUAAUGCAUAUAUGCAGAAAAGGCAGUUCUGGCAGUAACAUGUUCUCAUUUUAUCUGUUGCUAGCUAUUUCUUUUCUCAGAAAACUAAUCAAACCCAAAAGCUUUUCAUAAUUCACAUCAGAAGGGAAUUGACUUUCUUCUAUCAGUCUUAAUUUCUUUCUUUUUGUUACUAUUAAAACAGUUAUCUGUGCCAGCUAA